CUACAGGUCUCUUGAGAAUUCUCUGUCAUGAAACAGUAAACCGGAAGUUGCAUGCUGCUGUUCUACUUUCAGCACAAAAUAACAAAAUCGAUAUGCAUCUUUGGAGGGAAGAUGAAAUUUACGAGUUUUCAAGAAUAAUACACCACCCUCAUUUGAUCAUCACCAUGAUCGGUCAGGCACUAAAACAUCCAAACACACACAAAAAAGCAGCUGAAAUAUGAAAAGAACAAUGAUAUUGAUACAUGUAGGUCCCUUGAUUUAGCCACUGCAUAUGCCCUCUCAAUGCAGUUAACCGCAUAAGUUCUCAGUCCUCACAUUAACAUUCAGCGAGAGAGAGAGAGAGAGAGA
RNAcentral lists this unclassified non-coding RNA (348 nucleotides) under Hevea brasiliensis (rubber tree). The record is from RNAcentral. Lineage: Eukaryota; Viridiplantae; Streptophyta; Magnoliopsida; Malpighiales; Euphorbiaceae.